RNAcentral lists this ribosomal RNA (1177 nucleotides) under Staphylococcus aureus. RNAcentral's name for it is "bacterial SSU rRNA". It matches the Rfam family "Bacterial small subunit ribosomal RNA", at positions 83 to 1246 of the family's 1533-position model. Lineage: Bacteria; Bacillati; Bacillota; Bacilli; Caryophanales; Staphylococcaceae. The record is from RNAcentral.
UCUCUGAUGUUAGCGGCGGACGGGUGAGUAACACGUGGAUAACCUACCUAUAAGACUGGGAUAACUUCGGGAAACCGGAGCUAAUACCGGAUAAUAUUUUGAACCGCAUGGUUCAAAAGUGAAAGACGGUCUUGCUGUCACUUAUAGAUGGAUCCGCGCUGCAUUAGCUAGUUGGUAAGGUAACGGCUUACCAAGGCAACGAUGCAUAGCCGACCUGAGAGGGUGAUCGGCCACACUGGAACUGAGACACGGUCCAGACUCCUACGGGAGGCAGCAGUAGGGAAUCUUCCGCAAUGGGCGAAAGCCUGACGGAGCAACGCCGCGUGAGUGAUGAAGGUCUUCGGAUCGUAAAACUCUGUUAUUAGGGAAGAACAUAUGUGUAAGUAACUGUGCACAUCUUGACGGUACCUAAUCAGAAAGCCACGGCUAACUACGUGCCAGCAGCCGCGGUAAUACGUAGGUGGCAAGCGUUAUCCGGAAUUAUUGGGCGUAAAGCGCGCGUAGGCGGUUUUUUAAGUCUGAUGUGAAAGCCCACGGCUCAACCGUGGAGGGUCAUUGGAAACUGGAAAACUUGAGUGCAGAAGAGGAAAGUGGAAUUCCAUGUGUAGCGGUGAAAUGCGCAGAGAUAUGGAGGAACACCAGUGGCGAAGGCGACUUUCUGGUCUGUAACUGACGCUGAUGUGCGAAAGCGUGGGGAUCAAACAGGAUUAGAUACCCUGGUAGUCCACGCCGUAAACGAUGAGUGCUAAGUGUUAGGGGGUUUCCGCCCCUUAGUGCUGCAGCUAACGCAUUAAGCACUCCGCCUGGGGAGUACGACCGCAAGGUUGAAACUCAAAGGAAUUGACGGGGACCCGCACAAGCGGUGGAGCAUGUGGUUUAAUUCGAAGCAACGCGAAGAACCUUACCAAAUCUUGACAUCCUUUGACAACUCUAGAGAUAGAGCCUUCCCCUUCGGGGGACAAAGUGACAGGUGGUGCAUGGUUGUCGUCAGCUCGUGUCGUGAGAUGUUGGGUUAAGUCCCGCAACGAGCGCAACCCUUAAGCUUAGUUGCCAUCAUUAAGUUGGGCACUCUAAGUUGACUGCCGGUGACAAACCGGAGGAAGGUGGGGAUGACGUCAAAUCAUCAUGCCCCUUAUGAUUUGGGCUACACACGUGCUACAAUGGACAAUACAAAGGG